RNAcentral lists this ribosomal RNA (494 nucleotides) under uncultured bacterium. RNAcentral describes it as "partial 16S ribosomal RNA". It matches the Rfam family "Bacterial small subunit ribosomal RNA", at positions 28 to 507 of the family's 1533-position model. The record is from RNAcentral.
GACGAACGCUGGCGGCGUGCUUAACACAUGCAAGUCGAACGGUGAAGCGCCUUCCUUUUUGGUGGGUGUGGAUGAGUGGCGAACGGGUGAGUAACACGUGAGUAACCUGCCCCCUUCUUCUGGAUAACCGCAUGAAAGUGUGGCUAAUACGGGAUAUUCUGGGUCUGUCGCAUGAUGGGUCUGGGAAAGAUAUUGUUUCGGUGUGGGAUGGGCUCGCGGCCUAUCAGCUUGUUGGUGGGGUGAUGGCCUACCAAGGCGGUGACGGGUAGCCGGCCUGAGAGGGUGGACGGGCACACUGGGAAUGCGACACGGCCCGGACUCGUACGGGAGGCAGCAGUGGGGAAUAUUGCACAAUGGGCGCAAGCCUGAUGCAGCGACGCCGCGUGAGGGAUGGAGGCCUUCGGGUUGUGAACCUCUUUCGCCAGUGAAGCAGGCCUGCCUCGUUUGUGGGUGGGUUGACGGUAGCUGGAAAAGAAGCGCCGGCUAACUACGUG